AGCCGCGGGGCCGCAGCUUCCCGCCAUGCCAAUGCUCCGCACGGAGAAAGUGCUGCUGCUGCGGGGCCAGCAGGGCCGCUCGGUGCGCGUCGUGCGGGAGCACUACCUCCGCCCCGACGUGCCGUGCCGCUGCGCCCUGUGCCGGGCCGCCUGUCCUCGCGAUGGCAAAUUGUUAUCGGAUGAUGUUACACAUUAUGUUGUCCCUGACUGCAAGGUUGUUCAAGAUUACCUUGAGAUUCUCGAGUUUCCAGAGCUGAAAGGUAUUAUUUUCAUGCAAACAGCAUGUCAAGCUGUGCAACAUCAAAAAGGACGCAGACAAUACAACCAGUUACGAAAUCUAGUAAAGGAUGCCCGUCAUGACUGUAUCGUGUUUGCUAAUGAAUUCCACCAGCAUUCUUACUUGCCAAGAGAGAAGGGAGAAUCCAUGGAGAAAUGGCAGACCAGGAGUAUUUACAAUGCAGCAGUCUGGUAUUACAAUCACUGCUUGGGUCAGAUGCCAGUUGUUAUGGUAACAGAAGAUGAAGAUGCUAUCAGGCAGUACGGAAAUGAAACAGAAGGAGUGUUUGUGAUUUCCUUCAAGAAUUACUUGGAUAACUUUUGGCCUGACUUAAAGGCUGCCCAUGAACUCUUUGACUCUAUACUUCAAGCUCAGCGUGAACGGGAGAGUGAAAGCCAAGAAAACAAUGGAAAAGAAUAUCCUGAGCACUUACCUGUGGAAAUAUUGGAGGCUGGGAUCAAAUCUGGAAGAUAUAUACAGGGUAUACUGCAUGUCAGUAAGCAUAGAGCACAACUGGAAGCUCUUGUUCGACUUCAGGGAUUUGGCAACAAAGAAACAGAACUUCAAAGUGACAUCCUUAUUUAUGGGGCCAGAGCUCGAAAUCGUGCAAUCCAUGGUGAUGUCGUAGCUGUUGAGUUACUACCUUUGCAGGAAUGGAAAGGAAGGACUGUUGCCCUUUGUGAAAAUGAGACUGAGGAUAAACCACCUGCAGACACCAUUAGUGACCCUAUGCCCACAGGUAAAGUUGUUGGAAUCAUUCAAAAGAACUGGAGGGAUUAUGUGGUCACUUUCCCUUCUAAAGAAGAGAGCCAGUCCCAGGGCAGAAAUGCUCAGAAAAUCCUUGUUAUACCUUUGGACUAUAGAAUUCCCAAAAUCCGGAUCAGUACCCAGCAAGCUGAAGCAUUACAGGAUUAUAGAGUUGUCGUGCGUAUUGAUUCUUGGGAGUCAACUUCUGUGUAUCCAAAUGGACAUUUCGUCAGAGUUCUAGGAAGAAUUGGAGAUCUUGAGGGGGAAAUUGCAGCUAUUCUGGUGGAGAACAGCAUUUGUGUUGCCCCUUUCUCAGAGAUCCAGAUGAGUGAAAUGCCUGUGAGCUCUUCAAAGAGUCCUUGGAAAGUGAAUCCAGAGGAGGAAAAAAAACGUCUUGACUUGAGAGACACACACCUGAUAUUCAGCAUUGACCCGCAAGGCUGCGAGGAUGUGGAUGAUGCACUCUCGGUUAGAACUCUGCCUAAUGGGAAUCUAGAGUUAGGUGUCCACAUUGCAGAUGUAACCCAUUUUGUGGCAGCAAAUUCUUACACUGAUGUUGAGGCCAGAGCAAGGGCAACAACUUACUAUUUAGCGGAUCGUCGUUACAACAUGCUGCCGUCUGUCUUGAGUGCUGACAUAUGCUCUCUUCUUAGUGGAGUUGAUAGGUAUGCUGUAAGUGUCUUGUGGGAACUAGAAAAAGAAUCAUACGAAAUGCUGAGAGUCUGCUACAACAAAACCAUCAUUCGAUCUGCAUACAAGCUCGUUUACGAAGCAGCGCAGGGAUUAUUAGAUGGAGACACAAGUGUUGUUGGCGAUAUCCUGGAACUGAAAAACUUGGAUGAAAGAACUAGACAGAAGAAGUUGGCUGAACUGGUUUGGGCAAUAUCAAAACUCACUGAUAUAGCACGACACCUUAGAGCUAAGCGGGACAGCUGUGGUGCUUUGGAACUAGAAGGGGUAGAAAUCCAAGUGCAACUGGAUGAUAAACAUAAAAUCUACGGUCUCAUCCGCAAGGAGCCGCUGGAGGUGCAGGACACUGUAGCGGAAUGUAUGAUUCUUGCCAACCACUGGGUGGCAAAGAAGAUUUCUGAAAAUUUUCCUCAUCAAGCUUUGUUGCGUCAACACCCUCCACCACGACAGGAAUUUUUUACUAGACUUCGAGAAUGUGCCAGUGCCAAAGGUUUCUCAAUAGACACACGGUCUAACAAAACAUUGGCUGAGUCUCUGGAUAAAGCAAAUGACCCAUUGGAUCCAAUUGUAAAUAAACUGUUGCGAUCUAUGGCUACUCAAGCAAUGUCUAAUGCAUUGUACUUCUCAACUGGCUCUUGUCCUGAGGAAGAGUUUCAUCAUUAUGGACUUGCCUUAGAGAAGUACACUCAUUUCACUUCUCCAAUUAGAAGAUACGCUGAUAUUGUUGUCCACAGACUCUUGACGGCAGCAACACUGAAUGAAACUAAAGGAGAUGUUAAGGAUUAUAUAUUCAGCAAUAAGGAUCUUCAGGAAUUGUGCAGACAUAUUAAUAACAGAAAACAGGCAGCACAUCGUGCUCAGAAACAGUCUACUAAACUCUUCCGGUGCAUGUACUUAAAAGACACAACCACAGAAACAGAGGAGCGCUGCAUAGCAGAUGGUGUUAUUUACUCAAUUCGAACAAAUGGUGUGCUUGUUUUUGUACCAAGGUGAGUUGAUGAGAGCUUGGACUGAGCUUAAAAAUAAGACCUAAGUGUUACUAGAAUGCUGUGAGGACACCUCUGGUCCUUGAGAAAGGAAGUGUUUAUAGUGUGGCCUGGUGUUGACCAAUGACUACGUUUUAGAUUUUUGUUGUAAAUCAUAGCAGUGCUUUUCUAUGCAUUCACUCUGAAAAGGGAGUUCCUGUGAGGAAAUGGUAAGACUCUGCCGCACAGUAUAAAGUGAUUUUGCAAAUCACAAAGCCAUGCAUUCCUCAGCACUCUUGUCCUUCACUACCGACUGUAGUUUAUGCAGGCUAGGAGCACCUUUUGAGCAGCUACUCCUCGUAGGCAGCAGGGAAACAUAGAAGUGUUUACAUGGUGCUGUUUGUGGCAGUUAGGCUCUUCCGAGUGCCUGUAUCUCAGCUCAGCCUCUGAUUAACGCUAAGUAGAAAGCAACUGUUUGCAUGAAGCUAACGCUACAUUUUAAUUUCUGAGCUUUUAAAUCUGUAUUUUAAAGUAUACUAAAUGUGUUCUGCUAAUGUUAUAAAUAGACUAGUGAAUGAUGUAAGAAGGCAUUAGUCCAUGUAGAACUGGAGAGCACUGCCUUUCCUAAGACUUGGCCAGCUCUUCAAGCUGCAGGGGAGAGAACUACCUUUCCUCUUCCUAGACAUUUUGGAUUAGUUAAUGAUCUACGUGUUUGUGCAUUAUUGGCAGUAACACUGUCUACCUGGCUAGCUAACAGGUACGAGAAAUGUAGGCAUAAGAACCCUUCUUA
This is an RNA transcript of Harpia harpyja (harpy eagle), 3469 nucleotides long. It is a transcript of the gene named DIS3 like exosome 3'-5' exoribonuclease, with no coding region annotated. The transcript is spliced from 16 exons. The record is from RefSeq and is a predicted model, not a curated record. Lineage: Eukaryota; Metazoa; Chordata; Aves; Accipitriformes; Accipitridae.